RNAcentral lists this ribosomal RNA (643 nucleotides) under uncultured actinomycete. RNAcentral's name for it is "bacterial SSU rRNA". It matches the Rfam family "Bacterial small subunit ribosomal RNA", at positions 232 to 885 of the family's 1533-position model. Lineage: Bacteria; Bacillati; Actinomycetota; Actinomycetes; Actinomycetales. The record is from RNAcentral.
CGCGGCCUAUCAGCUUGUUGGUGGGGUAAUGGCCUACCAAGGCGACGACGGGUAGCCGGCCUGAGAGGGUGACCGGCCACACUGGGACUGAGACACGGCCCAGACUCCUACGGGAGGCAGCAGUGGGGAAUAUUGGACAAUGGGCGAAAGCCUGAUCCAGCAACGCCGCGUGAGGGAUGACGGCCUUCGGGUUGUAAACCUCUUUCAGUACCGACGAAGCGAAAGUGACGGUAGGUACAGAAGAAGCACCGGCCAACUACGUGCCAGCAGCCGCGGUAAUACGUAGGGUGCGAGCGUUGUCCGGAAUUAUUGGGCGUAAAGGGCUCGUAGGCGGUUUGUCACGUCGGGAGUGAAAACUCGGGGCUUAACCCCGAGCCUGCUUCCGAUACGGGCUGACUAGAGGUAUGCAGGGGAGAACGGAAUUCCUGGUGUAGCGGUGAAAUGCGCAGAUAUCAGGAGGAACACCGGUGGCGAAGGCGGUUCUCUGGGCAUUACCUGACGCUGAGGAGCGAAAGUGUGGGGAGCGAACAGGAUUAGAUACCCUGGUAGUCCACACCGUAAACGUUGGGCGCUAGGUGUGGGACUCAUUCCACGAGUUCCGUGCCGCAGCUAACGCAUUAAGCGCCCCGCCUGGGGAGUACGG